This 253-nucleotide ribosomal RNA is filed under the name uncultured Bacteroides sp. RNAcentral's name for it is "partial 16S ribosomal RNA". It matches the Rfam family "Bacterial small subunit ribosomal RNA", at positions 524 to 776 of the family's 1533-position model. Lineage: Bacteria; Pseudomonadati; Bacteroidota; Bacteroidia; Bacteroidales; Bacteroidaceae. The record is from RNAcentral.
UACGGAGGAUCCGAGCGUUAUCCGGAUUUAUUGGGUUUAAAGGGAGCGUAGGCGGAAGCUUAAGUCAGUUGUGAAAGUUUGCGGCUCAACCGUAAAAUUGCAGUUGAUACUGGGUUUCUUGAGUGCAGUAGAGGUAGGCGGAAUUCGCGGUGUAGCGGUGAAAUGCAUAGAUAUCGCGCAGAACCCCGAUUGCGAAGGCAGCCUGCCGGCCCCACACUGACGCUGAGGCACGAAAGCGUGGGUAUCGAACAGG